UAGAUACCCUGGUAGUCCACGCCGUAAACGAUGAUAACUAGCUGUCCGGGGACUUGGUCUUUGGGUGGCGCAGCUAACGCAUUAAGUUAUCCGCCUGGGGAGUACGGCCGCAAGGUUAAAACUCAAAUGAAUUGACGGGGGCCUGCACAAGCGGUGGAGCAUGUGGUUUAAUUCGAAGCAACGCGCAGAACCUUACCAGCGUUUGACAUGGCAGGACGACUUCUGGAGACAGAUUUCUUCCCUUCGGGGA
This 250-nucleotide ribosomal RNA is filed under the name uncultured bacterium. RNAcentral's name for it is "partial 16S ribosomal RNA". It matches the Rfam family "Bacterial small subunit ribosomal RNA", at positions 779 to 1026 of the family's 1533-position model. The record is from RNAcentral.